Molecule: ribosomal RNA, 374 nt
Filed under: uncultured bacterium
Lineage: Bacteria
Description: bacterial SSU rRNA
Rfam family: Bacterial small subunit ribosomal RNA
Source: RNAcentral
GACGAACCGUGCGAACGUUAUUCGGAAUCACUGGGCUUAAAGGGCGCGUAGGCGGGCGGCCAAGUCAGGGGUGAAAGCCCCCAGCUCAACUGGGGAAGUGCCUCUGAUACUGGUCGCCUCGAGGGAGAUAGGGGCGUGCGGAACUUCCGGUGGAGCGGUGAAAUGCGUAGAUAUCGGAAGGAACACCGGUGGCGAAAGCGGCGCGCUGGAUCUCUUCUGACGCUGAGGCGCGAAAGCCAGGGGAGCGAACGGGAUUAGAUACCCCGGUAGUCCUGGCCCUAAACGUUGGGUACUAGGUUGUGGGCUUACGUGGGCUCACAGCCGAAGCAAAAGUGUUAAGUACCCCGCCUGGGGAGUAUGGUCGCAAGGCUGAA